This 1444-nucleotide ribosomal RNA is filed under the name Escherichia coli. RNAcentral describes it as "partial 23S ribosomal RNA". It matches the Rfam family "Bacterial large subunit ribosomal RNA", at positions 1497 to 2916 of the family's 2925-position model. Lineage: Bacteria; Pseudomonadati; Pseudomonadota; Gammaproteobacteria; Enterobacterales; Enterobacteriaceae. The record is from RNAcentral.
GACGGUUGUCCCGGUUUAAGCGUGUAGGCUGGUUUUCCAGGCAAAUCCGGAAAAUCAAGGCUGAGGCGUGAUGACGAGGCACUACGGUGCUGAAGCAACAAAUGCCCUGCUUCCAGGAAAAGCCUCUAAGCAUCAGGUAACAUCAAAUCGUACCCCAAACCGACACAGGUGGUCAGGUAGAGAAUACCAAGGCGCUUGAGAGAACUCGGGUGAAGGAACUAGGCAAAAUGGUGCCGUAACUUCGGGAGAAGGCACGCUGAUAUGUAGGUGAAGUCCCUCGCGGAUGGAGCUGAAAUCAGUCGAAGAUACCAGCUGGCUGCAACUGUUUAUUAAAAACACAGCACUGUGCAAACACGAAAGUGGACGUAUACGGUGUGACGCCUGCCCGGUGCCGGAAGGUUAAUUGAUGGGGUUAGCGCAAGCGAAGCUCUUGAUCGAAGCCCCGGUAAACGGCGGCCGUAACUAUAACGGUCCUAAGGUAGCGAAAUUCCUUGUCGGGUAAGUUCCGACCUGCACGAAUGGCGUAAUGAUGGCCAGGCUGUCUCCACCCGAGACUCAGUGAAAUUGAACUCGCUGUGAAGAUGCAGUGUACCCGCGGCAAGACGGAAAGACCCCGUGAACCUUUACUAUAGCUUGACACUGAACAUUGAGCCUUGAUGUGUAGGAUAGGUGGGAGGCUUUGAAGUGUGGACGCCAGUCUGCAUGGAGCCGACCUUGAAAUACCACCCUUUAAUGUUUGAUGUUCUAACGUUGACCCGUAAUCCGGGUUGCGGACAGUGUCUGGUGGGUAGUUUGACUGGGGCGGUCUCCUCCUAAAGAGUAACGGAGGAGCACGAAGGUUGGCUAAUCCUGGUCGGACAUCAGGAGGUUAGUGCAAUGGCAUAAGCCAGCUUGACUGCGAGCGUGACGGCGCGAGCAGGUGCGAAAGCAGGUCAUAGUGAUCCGGUGGUUCUGAAUGGAAGGGCCAUCGCUCAACGGAUAAAAGGUACUCCGGGGAUAACAGGCUGAUACCGCCCAAGAGUUCAUAUCGACGGCGGUGUUUGGCACCUCGAUGUCGGCUCAUCACAUCCUGGGGCUGAAGUAGGUCCCAAGGGUAUGGCUGUUCGCCAUUUAAAGUGGUACGCGAGCUGGGUUUAGAACGUCGUGAGACAGUUCGGUCCCUAUCUGCCGUGGGCGCUGGAGAACUGAGGGGGGCUGCUCCUAGUACGAGAGGACCGGAGUGGACGCAUCACUGGUGUUCGGGUUGUCAUGCCAAUGGCACUGCCCGGUAGCUAAAUGCGGAAGAGAUAAGUGCUGAAAGCAUCUAAGCACGAAACUUGCCCCGAGAUGAGUUCUCCCUGACUCCUUGAGAGUCCUGAAGGAACGUUGAAGACGACGACGUUGAUAGGCCGGGUGUGUAAGCGCAGCGAUGCGUUGAGCUAACCGGUACUAAUGAACCGUGAGG